UAGCAAUAAUUAGUGUGUAGGGAACCCCAAACCCUAAAGGCAAGUGUUCUUAUUCCCUUAAUUAUAAAUACCCCACCGCAUGCAUCCUAUCCCUCAUAGCAAUCAUCCUAUCCCUUCAACACCAAUCCACCGUUUUUGAGAAUAAACAACCAACAAUGGGGGUUGUGAAGGAGGGGCCUUGGGGUGGAGAUAAAGAAGGGAAACCAUUCGACACGAAAACUGUCGGCUGGAUUUUGGGCUUCGAGGUCUGGUAUGAUGACUACAUUACCGGAAUCCGGUUCAAUUAUAA
Molecule: long non-coding RNA, 289 nt
Organism: Ananas comosus (pineapple)
Lineage: Eukaryota; Viridiplantae; Streptophyta; Magnoliopsida; Poales; Bromeliaceae
Exons: 2
Source: RefSeq, a predicted model, not a curated record